CCUACGGGGAGCAGCAGUGAGGAAUAUUGGUCAAUGGACGCAAGUCUGAACCAGCCAUGCCGCGUGCAGGAAGACGGCUCUAUGAGUUGUAAACUGCUUUUGUACGAGGGUAAACGCAGAUACGCGUAUCUGUCUGAAAGUAUCGUACGAAUAAGGAUCGGCUAACUCCGUGCCAGCAGCCGCGGUAAUACGGAGGAUUCAAGCGUUAUCCGGAUUUAUUGGGUUUAAAGGGUGCGUAGGUGGUCGGAUAAGUUAGAGGUGAAAUCCCGAGGCUCAACUUCGGAAUUGCCUCUGAUACUGUUUGGCUAGAGAGUAGUUGCGGUAGGCGGAAUGUAUGGUGUAGCGGUGAAAUGCUUAGAGAUCAUACAGAACACCGAUUGCGAAGGCAGCUUACCAAGCUACUUCUGACGUUGAGGCACGAAAGCGUGGGGAGCAAACAGGAUUAGAUACCCUAGUAGUC
This 460-nucleotide ribosomal RNA is filed under the name uncultured bacterium. RNAcentral's name for it is "partial 16S ribosomal RNA". It matches the Rfam family "Bacterial small subunit ribosomal RNA", at positions 338 to 795 of the family's 1533-position model. The record is from RNAcentral.